This 411-nucleotide ribosomal RNA is filed under the name Bacillota bacterium. Its description in RNAcentral is "Firmicutes bacterium partial 16S ribosomal RNA". It matches the Rfam family "Bacterial small subunit ribosomal RNA", at positions 355 to 776 of the family's 1533-position model. The record is from RNAcentral. Lineage: Bacteria; Bacillati; Bacillota.
UGGGGAAUAUUGCGCAAUGGGCGAAAGCCUGACGCAGCAACGCCGCGUGCGGGAUGACGGCCUUCGGGUUGUAAACCGCUUUCAGCAGGGACGAAGGGUUACCUUGACGGUACCUGCAGAAGAAGCACCGGCUAACUACGUGCCAGCAGCCGCGGUUAUACGUAGGGUGCGAGCGUUGUCCGGAAUUAUUGGGCGUAAAGAGCUUGUAGGCGGUCUGUUGCGUCGGAAGUGAAAACUCAGGGCUUAACCCUGAGCCUGCUUUCGAUACGGGCAGACUUGAGGGAUGUAGGGGAGAACGGAAUUCCUGGUGGAGCGGUGGAAUGCGCAGAUAUCAGGAGGAACACCAGUGGCGAAGGCGGUUCUCUGGACAUUUCCUGACGCUGAGAAGCGAAAGCGUGGGGAGCAAACAGG